GAGUUUGAUCAUGGCUCAGAUUGAACGCUGGCGGCAUGCCUUACACAUGCAAGUCGAACGGCAGCAUGAUCUAGCUUGCUAGAUUGAUGGCGAGUGGCGAACGGGUGAGUAAUACAUCGGAACGUGCCCUGUAGUGGGGGAUAACUAGUCGAAAGAUUAGCUAAUACCGCAUACGACCUGAGGGUGAAAGUGGGGGACCGCAAGGCCUCAUGCUAUAGGAGCGGCCGAUGUCUGAUUAGCUAGUUGGUGGGGUAAAGGCCCACCAAGGCGACGAUCAGUAGCUGGUCUGAGAGGACGAUCAGCCACACUGGGACUGAGACACGGCCCAGACUCCUACGGGAGGCAGCAGUGGGGAAUUUUGGACAAUGGGCGAAAGCCUGAUCCAGCAAUGCCGCGUGUGUGAAGAAGGCCUGGUGUAAG
This 420-nucleotide ribosomal RNA is filed under the name uncultured microorganism. Its description in RNAcentral is "bacterial SSU rRNA". It matches the Rfam family "Bacterial small subunit ribosomal RNA", at positions 9 to 429 of the family's 1533-position model. The record is from RNAcentral.